Molecule: unclassified non-coding RNA, 888 nt
Filed under: Hevea brasiliensis (rubber tree)
Lineage: Eukaryota; Viridiplantae; Streptophyta; Magnoliopsida; Malpighiales; Euphorbiaceae
Source: RNAcentral
GCACAUAGAUGUUGAGGCCAGCAAUGGGGUUCAGCCUGCUCUCGCUGUGUGGAUCAGCCGCUGAUGGGCGGCGCCCAGUGCGGCCGCGGCGUGGGUAAGGGUACUCCUGCGAGCCGCCUAGAACUGGUCUGGCGGAAUCCUCGCCCUCGUCUGGCUUGCCAAGAUCAUUAUAGUAGGCAUAACGGUACACACGGUGGUGUUCCUUGAGUUCGCAGUUAAUAUUGUCACCUCUUAGCUGCACAAGCUCGUCCUUUCUGUAUGCGCGAAGUGGCUCUGGAGUACUGCUUGGGAGGUAGGUAUUGUUGGUGAAGAAGACCCGGCUGCUCUUGUAGACCUCCACAGGAUACACCCAGGAGUAACAAUUGAAGUAAAUCGGGCCUUGGGCCAGAUCCUGACCUUUUCCGUUCAAGUCAAGGAGGGUGAUACUCUUCAAGUAGAACUCGUUGGGGUGGUGGUUGUUCACGAUCACCGCUCCUGGGGCGCCCAUGUCUUCGCCCCACUUGAACUUGAUAUUGAAGUGCAACUCUCCAGCCGCCAGCGACGGCAAAGUCGUAAUCCAGUCCUCGAGGUUUGCCUUCUCCCCCACUUUCCCCCUGCCGGUCUUUGGGUCGGAGAUGGUGGCACUGACAAGUUGGAAAGAGAGUCCUUGCUCGAGGAACGGGAUGAUAUUGCCAAUGGACUCGGAGACGUCGUCGGCAAUGGCUGCUGUGUGGUCGUUGAGGUCAAGUACGUUCUUCUUCAUCAAUACCACCAAGCCAUGGACGGUCUCGGUCUUCUGCCCCCCAAAGCCCUCUAAGAUAUCGUUGAAGAUCAUCUUUCAAGGUGAGACAACGGAAGAUGAAAGGAGGAGGAGAGUGAUGGUGGCAGUGGAUGUCGAGUCGGUGUUGU